GAGACACUGAGGCAAGAGCUGGGUUUCCCCCUCUCAGCACUCUUUUGGGCCAGGUAAUUCUCAACUUGGGGCCAAAGCUCCCCUGCUGUGACCUUUGGGUCUGGAGCAGCAAACAAAGCAAAGUCUUGUCCUCAGGAGCUCCCCUUGGGGAUGUCACAGAAAGUGAUGGCAAGGAUGGUGGUCACAGUCAACACAGGAGGAGGCAGGGAGGCUGGGGAGGCCGCAGUUUCAGAGAGAAAGCUCUCUCCUGGAAAGCCACUCUCCUGGUCCCACGGAAAGGGACCUCUGUGCAAACCUAAGAAUGAUGGGGCUGGGAUGGGGCCUGGUAACAUGCAUUUCCACAGACCACCCAGGGUCUGGUUCAGGGGCCACACUAGGAGAAAUAACUCACCUGGGCCUCUAAUGAGACUCUCAGAGAAAGAAAAGCCUGGACUUAGGGAAGGCAAGAGGCCCCCCCCCCCCACCAGCAAGGGGACAUGGCCACGGCCAAGGCAGAGACUCUGGGGUCAGUGACCAGCCCAUCCUCACAAUGAGGGUCCCAGUGUGGAAACACUUCCCCAACCACCACAAGCUCUGAGUCUUUGUGCUCCCCCAGUUUUGAGGCCAGGAUGUAGACUGUGAUCCUAUGUGACCUGGAGUGAGACACAAGACACUGUGCCUCCGUUUCCUCGCCUGUGAAGGCAGACAUCGCCUCCCUGGAUGGUUGUCUAAAUGUGAGGUUUGGAAACAAUGUCUGGCACACAGGACGCACCCAGUGACCACUGGGUGUCAGGAUCGUCACCAGUGCUUCUCUUGUUCUUGCCUUCCUCAUGGGGAGGAGGUGCCAGACCCUCUUCUGCAUCCUCCUGCAGGUAGGGGCCAGCGGGUCCAGGAUGAGCUCCUGGAGCUGCUCCUCCCUCCGCAGCUUCCACAUCAGUGAGCGGAUCAGACCCUUGCUGAUGACAUCGUGGGCCCCUGCACGACAGGAAAGGGCACUGAGGGUGGACCGGCCACACCCCCUCCCAUGCUGGUUGGCCUGCAGGGCUCAGGAAGGAUUUUGCAGAGCAACUUGGGCUGGUGAAUUACCAGAUCUCCGUCAAGUGCAGCAACCAGUUCGAGUUGGAAGUGCGUCUUUUGGAUGCAGAAAACAAAGUCGUGGACAACAGGGCCGGGACCCAGGGCCAGCUGAAGGUGCUGGGUGCCAACCUCUGGUGGCCGUACCUGAUGCACGAACGCCCCGCCUACCUGUACUCGUAGGAGAUCCGAGGGAAGGACUUCGACUGUCUGCUGCUGGUGAACGACUUCAACCUGCUUCGCUGGCUUGGUGCCAACACCUUCCACGCCAGCCACUAUCCCUACGCGGAGGAGAUGCUGCAGAUGUGUGA
Molecule: long non-coding RNA, 1364 nt
Filed under: Pongo abelii (Sumatran orangutan)
Lineage: Eukaryota; Metazoa; Chordata; Mammalia; Primates; Hominidae
Description: lncRNA (ENSPPYG00000038757.1)
Source: RNAcentral